This 72-nucleotide transfer RNA is filed under the name Fukomys damarensis (Damara mole-rat). It matches the Rfam family "tRNA". From Rfam's summary of the family: Transfer RNA (tRNA) molecules are approximately 80 nucleotides in length. The record is from Rfam by way of RNAcentral. Lineage: Eukaryota; Metazoa; Chordata; Mammalia; Rodentia; Bathyergidae.
AGGGAUAUAGCUCAGUGGAAGAGUGCUUGUCUAACAUGCACAAAGCUCUGGGUUAAAUCCCCAGAAUCUUUA